This 74-nucleotide transfer RNA is filed under the name Clostridiaceae bacterium. RNAcentral's name for it is "tRNA-Cys". It matches the Rfam family "tRNA". Rfam says of the family: Transfer RNA (tRNA) molecules are approximately 80 nucleotides in length. Their secondary structure includes four short double-helical elements and three loops (D, anti-codon, and T loops). The record is from RNAcentral. RNAcentral also lists the same sequence under 6 other names. Lineage: Bacteria; Bacillati; Bacillota; Clostridia; Eubacteriales; Clostridiaceae.
GGCGACAUAGCCAAGUGGUAAGGCAGAGGACUGCAAAUCCUUUACCCCCGGUUCAAAUCCGGGUGUCGCCUCCA